Molecule: ribosomal RNA, 412 nt
Filed under: uncultured bacterium
Lineage: Bacteria
Description: bacterial SSU rRNA
Rfam family: Bacterial small subunit ribosomal RNA
Source: RNAcentral
AUUGAACGCUGGCGGCGUGCCUAACACAUGCAAGUCGAGCGGUAACAGGUGUAGCAAUACAUGCUGACGAGCGGCGAACGGGUGAGUAAUGCUUUGGAAUCUUCCCAGUAGUGGGGAAUAACCAGUCGAAAGAUUGGCUAAUACCGCAUACGUCUGUAAAGGGAAAGCGGGGACUCGCCUCUUCUUCGGAAGAGAGGCCUCGCGCUAUUGGAUGAGCCAAAGCGGAUUAGCUAGUUGGUGGGGUAAUGGCCUACCAAGGCGACAAUCCGUAGCUGGUCUGAGAGGACGACCAGCCACACCGGAACUGAGACACGGUCCGGACUCCUACGGGAGGCAGCAGGUGGGGAAUAUUGGACAAGUGGGGAAACCCUGAUCCAGCGACGCCGCGUGUGUGAAGAAGGCCUGGCGGGUU